CUCUCCUUACCUGCGUCCUCGGGGGCGUGCGCACCACCCCCCCUCCCGCCUAGGAGGGGGGAGGGCCCCCUCUUGGCCACCGCCUUCGCGGCCUUUAAACUCCCCUGGAGACUGCGGCUACUGCCACCGCCUUGCCUCCACUGCCUCUUCGCGCAGCACACAGAUGCGGACGGUGGGUGGGAAAAAGGGCAGACGCUACUCCCAGCGAACCGCCGCUGCCGCUCCCGAGGCCUCACCAAAAUGGCCGCCGCCGUCUCGGCCGCCACCACCACCACUACCACCACCACUCGCUCGGAAUCGCUAUCGCCGGCGCGGCCCGUCUUCUCGCGAGAGACAGUAACUGGAGGGUGGGGGAACGGGGAGGCUCGCGUGCUAGCGUAGGGUGCAGCACGGUGCGCAAGGCAGCCUGGGAGGUGUAGUCUCCCAGAGGCUGCGCGCUCGCCCUUCCUCGGAGCGCCUUUACCGUUUGCCCCUAGAUCUACCUGGGGCUGCAUUGCGGCUGCCAGCUCGGACCACCGCCACCUCCCUUUUUAUUUACAGAUCACCCAGUAAGCUGCAGCAAGUUAGCAGUGGAACCUGGGCCUCCCGAUUCCCAUGGCAGCCCACUUCUGUAGCGCUGCUUCGUUUUACGCGAGGAUGGUUUCCUGAUAGCUUUCAAACACCUUUGCCAUCUCUUCGCAAACUUUCUAGAUUAAGAAUCCCUUUGAGAAUCUGAUACCUUUACCCCAGAAUAGAACAAUAAAUAACAGCUACCUUCUACUGACACUACUUGGUGCCUUGAUUAUUUCUUUUAAUCCUAACUGCUCCAUUUUACAAACGAAUUGAGGCUCAGGCGUUAAAACACAGUGACAGAUC
Molecule: long non-coding RNA, 855 nt
Filed under: Homo sapiens (human)
Lineage: Eukaryota; Metazoa; Chordata; Mammalia; Primates; Hominidae
Description: non-protein coding lnc-CCDC189-1:10
Source: RNAcentral